This 253-nucleotide ribosomal RNA is filed under the name uncultured bacterium. RNAcentral's name for it is "partial 16S ribosomal RNA". It matches the Rfam family "Bacterial small subunit ribosomal RNA", at positions 524 to 776 of the family's 1533-position model. The record is from RNAcentral.
UACGGGGGGGGCAAGCGUUGUUCGGAAUUACUGGGCGUAAAGGGCUCGUAGGCGGCCAACUAAGUCAGACGUGAAAUCCCUCGGCUUAACCGGGGAACUGCAUCUGAUACUGGAUGGCUUGAGUUCGGGAGAGGGAUGCGGAAUUCCAGGUGUAGCGGUGAAAUGCGUAGAGAUCAGGAGGAACACCCGUGGCGAAGGCGGCCCUCUGGCUCGACCCUGACGCUGAGGCGCGAAAGCGUGGGGAGCGAACGGG